GGAGGCGCCCAAAGGUUCCCUCAGAAUGGUUGGAAAUCAUUCGCAGAGUGUAAAGGCACAAGGGAGCUUGACUGCGAGACCUACAAGUCGAGCAGGGACGAAAGUCGGGCUUAGUGAUCCGGUGGUUCCGCAUGGAAGGGCCAUCGCUCAACGGAUAAAAGCUACCCCGGGGAUAACAGGCUUAUCUCCCCCAAGAGUCCACAUCGACGGGGAGGUUUGGCACCUCGAUGUCGGCUCAUCGCAUCCUGGGGCUGUAGUCGGUCCCAAGGGUUGGGCUGUUCGCCCAUUAAAGCGGUACGCGAGCUGGGUUCAGAACGUCGUGAGACAGUUCGGUCCCUAUCCGUCGCGGGCGCAGGAAAUUUGAGAGGAGCUGUCCUUAGUACGAGAGGACCGGGAUGGACGCACCGCUGGUGUACCAGUUGUUCUGCCAAGGGCAUCGCUGGGUAGCUAUGUGCGGACGGGAUAAGUGCUGAAAGCAUCUAAGCAUGAAGCCCCCCUCAAGAUGAGAUUUCCCAUUCCGCAAGGAAGUAAGAUCCCUGAAAGAUGAUCAGGUUGAUAGGUCUGAGGUGGAAGUGUGGCGACACAUGGAGCUGACAGAUACUAAUCGAUCGAGGACUUAACCAAUUU
RNAcentral lists this ribosomal RNA (627 nucleotides) under Bacillus velezensis. RNAcentral describes it as "partial 23S ribosomal RNA". It matches the Rfam family "Bacterial large subunit ribosomal RNA", at positions 2302 to 2925 of the family's 2925-position model. Lineage: Bacteria; Bacillati; Bacillota; Bacilli; Caryophanales; Bacillaceae. The record is from RNAcentral.